UUUUGGGGGUGGGGGCUUUGCAUUUUUUAUUUCAGUUCUGAUUUUUUCCCGCUUUCAUGAUUUACGCUUACCACCUAUAAGAUUAGCAGGGGUUAUUGAUUUUUUAAUUUGGGGAGUGAAGGAAGAUGAAUACUCGAACCAGGACCAAUCUGCAACCUAUGAAGGCUCCUGGGAAGCUUGAAAUUGAAAAAAUGUGA
Ipomoea nil (Japanese morning glory) is the source of this 197-nucleotide long non-coding RNA. RefSeq lists it as uncharacterized. The record is from RefSeq and is a predicted model, not a curated record. The transcript is spliced from 3 exons. Lineage: Eukaryota; Viridiplantae; Streptophyta; Magnoliopsida; Solanales; Convolvulaceae.